This is a long non-coding RNA of Pomacea canaliculata, 660 nucleotides long. RefSeq lists it as uncharacterized. The record is from RefSeq and is a predicted model, not a curated record. NCBI's taxonomy places the organism in Eukaryota, Metazoa, Mollusca, Gastropoda, Architaenioglossa, Ampullariidae. The transcript is spliced from 2 exons.
CCUCGAUCCUCGUUGUUGUGAUGAUGUGCGACUAGCCGCUCCAACGGUCCCCAUCCCUUUACACGCGCUGGUGAGACCGCCGUUACUUUCCGGGUUGGCCGUGACGUCAUCAACCCUGGUGGUAGACACACCACCCAGUCUCGUUAAAUUCAACCUUCGCGCUGUUCUUCCGGAAGUCAGGUCGUCUUCUGGUUCGCCGAGACUGACCACGGAGAACUUCUCAAGAGGCCAAGAGUGAGUCUCGGCAGACAGACAUCAGUCACCAAUAUCUACGUCCAUGGAUCCAGCUUACGCGACCCUUCCCUGCUGCUGAGUUUGUACUACAUGACGAACAAGGUGCGGAAAAGUGGGGAGGGGGAAACCCACGACAGAUAUACCCCACAAGACGAACAAAAGAACUAUACACGACACUGGUAUAUCCAGAAAGCCGUACAUAUUUAGAAACAAUUUUCAAAAAGGACUGUGUAUGUGUUGUCAGCCAAGUACGUGUUUGGAUUACGUGUCUAAGACGCUUCGUCUUCUGUAAGCCAACAGUAAGAACAAACAACAUGCGUAUAUACGUGUGACAGGGAAAGUGUAUUCUGGGUAGAGAUGAAUAACUGAAGUUCUUUAGUCUUCCUGCUUUUCCACGCAGUUUACGUAAUGUACACAGGAACGAAU